This 331-nucleotide unclassified non-coding RNA is filed under the name soil metagenome. RNAcentral's name for it is "partial contains 5.8S ribosomal RNA, internal transcribed spacer 2, and large subunit ribosomal RNA". The stretch from base 1 to 120 matches the Rfam family "5.8S ribosomal RNA", at positions 35 to 154 of the family's 154-position model. The record is from RNAcentral.
GAUGAAGAACGCAGUGAAAUGCGAUACGUAAUGUGAAUUGCAGAAUUCAGUGAAUCAUCGAGUCUUUGAACGCACAUUGCGCCCCCUGGUAUUCCGGGGGGCAUGCCUGUUCGAGCGUCAUUUCACCACUCAAGCCUCGCUUGGUAUUGGGCAAUGCGGUCCGCCGCCUGCCUCAAAUCGACCGGCUGGGUCUUCUGUCCCCUAAGCGUUGUGGAAACUAUUCGCUAAAGGGUGUUCGGGAGGCUACGCCGUAAAACAACCCCAUUUCUAAGGUUGACCUCGGAUCAGGUAGGGAUACCCGCUGAACUUAAGCAUAUCAAUAAGCGGAGGA